This 2023-nucleotide ribosomal RNA is filed under the name human gut metagenome. RNAcentral describes it as "bacterial LSU rRNA". It matches the Rfam family "Bacterial large subunit ribosomal RNA", at positions 1029 to 2925 of the family's 2925-position model. The record is from RNAcentral.
AGAUCAUCAGCUAAGGCCCCGAAGAGCAUGCUAAGUGUGACAAGGAUGUAGGGACCCGGAAACAGCCAGGAGGUUGGCUCAGAAGCAGCCAUCCUUGAAAGAGUGCGUAACAGCUCACUGGUCUAGUGGUUCCGCGCCGACAAUGUAGCGGGGCUCAAGCACACCACCGAAGACGCGGCAGCAAUCUUCAUGGUUGCUGGGUAGGAGAGCGUCCUGCAUGGGGCGAAGCGGCGGUGGAAACCGGCCGUGGACCGUGUGGGAGUGAGAAUGCAGACAUGAGUAGCGAGAGACGGGUGAGGAUCCCGUCCGCUGGAUGACCAAGGGUUCCGGGGCCACGUUCGUCGUCCCCGGGUGAGUCGGGUCCUAAGGCGAGGCCGACAGGCGUAGUCGAAUGGAUGAACGGGUGGAUAUUCCCGUACCGACCAUGGACCGGCAAAACCGAGACGGUGAGUACUAACCUCCGCCUCGUGGUGGUUCCUUCCUUCGGGUUGGUAUCGCCGCGUGGUGUUGGGAGCGUAGCCGCAGUAGGUCAGCGCAGGGGUGACACGGAAUGGGAGCCGGCCGCGGAGGUGGUUUUCCGUGGUCAAGCACGCAGCCAGUCAUGUAGGCAAAUCCGCAUGGCGCGCAUGGCGAGGUGUGAUGAUGGGAGCCGUUAUGGCUCGAUAUCCGGUUGUCCAGGCCGUCGAGAAAAGCCUCGGCGUGAGGGCCAUGGCCGCCCGUACCCCAAACCGACACUGGUGGUCAGGUAGAGAAUACCAAGGCGAUCGAGCGAAUCCUGGUCAAGGAACUCGGCAAAUCACUCCCGUGCCUUCGGUAUAAGGGAGACCCGCUGGGGUGAACCGGCUAGCCCGGGGAGCUUUGGUGGGUGGCACAGACCAGGGGGUAGCGACUGUUUACCAAAAACACAGGUGCAUGCGAAGGCGAAAGCCGCUGUAUAUGCACUGACGCCUGCCCGGUGCCGGAAGGUUAAGAGGAUCCGUCAAUCCCUUCGGGGACGAAGCGGUGAAUUCAAGCCCCGGUAAACGGCGGUGGUAACUAUAACCAUCCUAAGGUAGCGAAAUUCCUUGUCGGGUAAGUUCCGACCUGCACGAAUGGCGUAACGACUUCCCCACUGUCUCGACCAGGAGCUCGGCGAAAUUGCAGUACGAGUAAAGAUGCUCGUUAAGCGCAGAAGGACGAAAAGACCCCGGGACCUUUACUAUACCUUGGUAUUGGCGUUAGGCGCGGAUUGUGUAGCAUAGGCGGGAGGCUUUGAAACGGUGGCGCCAGCCAUCGCGGAGCCGCAAGGUGAAAUACCGCUCUGUUCUCGUUUGAUGUCUAACCUCGAACAGUCAUCCUGUUCAGGGACAGUGCCUGGCGGGUAGUUCAACUGGGGCGGUUGCCUCCCAAAGAGUAACGGAGGCGCUCAAAGGUCCGCUCAGCCCGGUUGGCAAUCGGGUGUCGAGUGUAAUCGCACAAGCGGGCUUGACUGCGAGGACGACGGUCCGAGCAGGGACGAAAGUCGGAGAUAGUGAUCCGGUGCCGGCGCACGGGCGCGGCAUCGCUCAACGGAUAAAAGGUACCCCGGGGAUAACAGGCUGAUCAUUCCCAAGAGUCCAUAUCGACGGGAUGGUUUGGCACCUCGAUGUCGGCUCGUCGCAUCCUGGGGCUGGAGCAGGUCCCAAGGGUUCGGCUGUUCGCCGAUUAAAGCGGCACGCGAGCUGGGUUCAGAACGUCGUGAGACAGUUUGGUCUCUAUCCUCUGCGCUCGUUGGAAUCUUGAGGAGGCCUGCCCAUAGUACGAGAGGACCUGGGUGGACGAACCUCUGGUAUGCCGGUUGUCGCGCCAGCGGCACGGCCGGUUGGCUACGUUCGGGAGGGAUAACCGCUGAAAGCAUCUAAGCGGGAAGCCUGCUCCAAGAUUAGGAUUCCAUGGAUCUUCGAGAUCCUGUAGCCCGCAUGUUGAACACGUGUUUGAUAGGCCGGAGGUGGAAGCCCCGUGAGGGGUGGAGCCGACCGGUACUAACGGGCGAUGGCGACACAAC